RNAcentral lists this small nucleolar RNA (146 nucleotides) under Mustela putorius furo (domestic ferret). RNAcentral's name for it is "Small nucleolar RNA SNORA15". It matches the Rfam family "Small nucleolar RNA SNORA15". Rfam says of the family: ACA15 is a member of the H/ACA class of snoRNA that guide the sites of modification of uridines to pseudouridines. The record is from Rfam by way of RNAcentral. Lineage: Eukaryota; Metazoa; Chordata; Mammalia; Carnivora; Mustelidae.
GCAUGGCUGAGUACUGUGUUCUUUUUAUCAGUUGUUUACAUAGCCAGACAUCAUGGGAAAAAAAAAACAAAAAACAUUCUUUAAAGUGGUUAUGAUGGAUUGCUAAGUUUUUUCAUAGCAUAUCGUCAUUAAAGGGAAAUAGAAAU